Molecule: ribosomal RNA, 495 nt
Filed under: uncultured bacterium
Lineage: Bacteria
Description: partial 16S ribosomal RNA
Rfam family: Bacterial small subunit ribosomal RNA
Source: RNAcentral
GACGAACGCUGGCGGCGUGCCUAAUACAUGCAAGUAGAACGCUGAAGGAGGAGCUUGCUUCUCUGGAUGAGUUGCGAACGGGUGAGUAACGCGUAGGUAACCUACCUGGUAGCGGGGGAUAACUAUUGGAAACGAUAGCUAAUACCGCAUAAGAGUAGAUGUCGCAUGACAUUUGCUUAAAAGGUGCAAUUGCAUCACUACCAGAUGGACCUGCGUUGUAUUAGCUAGUUGGUGAGGUAACGGCUCACCAAGGCAACGAUACAUAGCCGACCUGAGAGGGUGAUCGGCCACACUGGGACUGAGACACGGCCCAGACUCCUACGGGAGGCAGCAGUAGGGAAUCUUCGGCAAUGGACGGAAGUCUGACCGAGCAACGCCGCGUGAGUGAAGAAGGUUUUCGGAUCGUAAAGCUCUGUUGUAAGAGAAGAACGAGUGUGAGAGUGGAAAGUUCACACUGUGACGGUAUCUUACCAGAAAGAGACGGCUAACUACGUG